Molecule: ribosomal RNA, 323 nt
Filed under: Salmonella enterica subsp. enterica serovar Newport
Lineage: Bacteria; Pseudomonadati; Pseudomonadota; Gammaproteobacteria; Enterobacterales; Enterobacteriaceae
Description: bacterial LSU rRNA
Rfam family: Bacterial large subunit ribosomal RNA
Source: RNAcentral
GGGUUGUGAGGUUAAGCGACUAAGCGUACACGGUGGAUGCCCUGGCAGUCAGAGGCGAUGAAGGACGUGCUAAUCUGCGAUAAGCGCCGGUAAGGUGAUAUGAACCGUUAUAACCGGCGAUUUCCGAAUGGGGAAACCCAGUGUGACUCGUCACACUAUCAUUAACUGAAUCCAUAGGUUAAUGAGGCGAACCGGGGGAACUGAAACAUCUAAGUACCCCGAGGAAAAGAAAUCAACCGAGAUUCCCCCAGUAGCGGCGAGCGAACGGGGAGGAGCCCAGAGCCUGAAUCAGCAUGUGUGUUAGUGGAAGCGUCUGGAAAGGC